AGCAAUAAAAGAGUUUCUUCUACCUCGUGACAUUGUCCUGUGUCCAGUUGAAAGACCAUUGUAUGCUGGUGCAUAAAUAUUCUUCUAGGAAGAAGUUAAAAGUCCACUGAUUUCUUAGCACUCCCAAAUAUAAUAGAAGAAAUAAAACCAAAUUGUAUUACCUUUCCCUGACAGACUUUAUCUCAGUUAACUGUUGGAAACCAAAUCUAA
This 210-nucleotide unclassified non-coding RNA is filed under the name Hevea brasiliensis (rubber tree). Lineage: Eukaryota; Viridiplantae; Streptophyta; Magnoliopsida; Malpighiales; Euphorbiaceae. The record is from RNAcentral.